GAUCGGAAGAGGAAGAUGAGAGGGCCAAUGAGCAGUGGGCAUGGGAACACGAAGGAAGGCUUAAUCCGAUAGAGAUACGAGCUUUCCUUUCCUGAUGCCUCCCAUGCCUAUUGCUCCUUGGUGCUCCUUCCUCUUCCUUUUGUCU
This 145-nucleotide microRNA precursor is filed under the name Oryza brachyantha (malo sina). RNAcentral's name for it is "MIR2118 microRNA precursor family". It matches the Rfam family "MIR2118 microRNA precursor family". The record is from Rfam by way of RNAcentral. Lineage: Eukaryota; Viridiplantae; Streptophyta; Magnoliopsida; Poales; Poaceae.